This 497-nucleotide ribosomal RNA is filed under the name uncultured bacterium. RNAcentral describes it as "partial 16S ribosomal RNA". It matches the Rfam family "Bacterial small subunit ribosomal RNA", at positions 28 to 507 of the family's 1533-position model. The record is from RNAcentral.
GAUGAACGCUGGCGGCGUGCCUAAUACAUGCAAGUCGAGCGAACAGACGAGGAGCUUGCUCCUCUGACGUUAGCGGCGGACGGGUGAGUAACACGUGGAUAACCUACCUAUAAGACUGGGAUAACUUCGGGAAACCGGAGCUAAUACCGGAUAAUAUAUUGAACCGCAUGGUUCAAUAGUGAAAGACGGUUUUGCUGUCACUUAUAGAUGGAUCCGCGCCGCAUUAGCUAGUUGGUAAGGUAACGGCUUACCAAGGCAACGAUGCGUAGCCGACCUGAGAGGGUGAUCAGCCACACGAGAACUGAGACACGGUCCAGACUCCUACGGGAGGCAGCAGUAGGGAAUCUUCCGCAAUGGGCGAAAGCCUGACGGAGCACCGCCGGGUGAGGGAUGAAGGUCUUCGGAUCGUAAAACGCUGUUAUUAGGGAAGAACAAAUGUGUAAGUAACUAUGCACGUCUUGACGGUACCUAAUCAGAAAGCAACGGCUAACUACGUG